RNAcentral lists this transfer RNA (72 nucleotides) under Bos taurus (domestic cattle). It matches the Rfam family "tRNA". From Rfam's summary of the family: Transfer RNA (tRNA) molecules are approximately 80 nucleotides in length. The record is from Rfam by way of RNAcentral. Lineage: Eukaryota; Metazoa; Chordata; Mammalia; Artiodactyla; Bovidae. RNAcentral also lists the same sequence under 2 other names.
ACCCUGGUGGCUCAGAUGGUAAAGCGUCUGCCUGCAGUGCAGGAGACCUGGGUUCAAUCCCUGGGUGGGGAA